RNA transcript from Solea solea (common sole), 5786 nucleotides. RefSeq lists it as uncharacterized. Lineage: Eukaryota; Metazoa; Chordata; Actinopteri; Pleuronectiformes; Soleidae. The record is from RefSeq and is a predicted model, not a curated record. The transcript has 2 exons.
CUUUCUAGCAGGCAAAGCUAUUUGUCUUUCAUUCUAUUUAUCUGUUCAUUGUUGUAACUGGUAUCAAAGCACCGUUGCCUUUAAAGUGCCUUUAAGGUGCAUCGUCAAAGCCAUGUUUUGUUAUGUAUUGCUUUCGUAUGUGCCUUUGUAAAUCCAUCUAUCAUCAGAACCUGUACGACUUGUCGGUUUUAUAACCUGACUGACUCUCUAACUGACUGUGGUUAGUAGCUAACAAACUGUCUAACUGUCUAACUGCUGCUUAACCGUGUAUGUGGAAUAAACCUUCAGAAAGACAGUCGAGUUGUGCCCGCCGUACUUGUUCUGGUUACCCUUUCCAGAAGGGAGUAUUGAGCUGGAAAGACCAACCAGCAGAAAUCUGGACAGUUAUAAAACCGUUGUUGGCAACGUAUCAGUGCAGUACGGACAGCCGAGCGGAGGACGACAAUCGUGGAGCACCAGGACGCUGGUGAAGCGAAUCAGUCGUGAAUUACUAAAGAGGAGAAGCUGGAACAGAAGAGCCAACGCAGCCGUGAAUAAGGUUGUGCACUUGGAAUUCAGAGCUCUUCUGGGCGAAGAGCCUCACAGAGGAGAAGCCGGAACAAAGAGCCAACGCAGCCGUGAAUAAGGUUGUGCACUUGGAAUUCAGAGCUCUUCUGGGCGAAGAGCCUCACAGAGGAGAAGCUGGAACAGAAGAGCCAACGCAGCCGUGAAUAAGGUUGUGCACUUGGAAUUCAGGGCUCUUCUGGGCGAAGAGCCUCACAGAGGAGAAGCCGGAACAAAGAGCUAACGCAGCCGUGAAUAAGGUUGUGAGGAUUGCACAAGGAACAAAGAGCUCUUCUGGGCGAAGAGCCUCACAGACUGUGACAUUGAGACGUCGACAGUUGGGGGCGUUGACAUUCGUGUGCCAAAAAGACGUGUCGUUUGCAAAGAACUGAAUCCUUUGAACAAGUCACUGGCAACGAACCAGAGAGUCAAAUCAUUUGAACAAUUCCAAUUCCGGAGUUCAAAGAACAAAAAUGGCAGACGACAAGCCAGACCUGGAAGACCUACAACGGAAGCGAUCAAAUGCACAGCGGAGCCUAACGACGCGUAUAAACUGCCUUAAUUUCAAAGCUGGUCGUCUAGGCACAGGAAAAUUGUCGCAAGAGUUGGCAGGGUUGGAAAACGACUAUGAUACUUUCGUCGGCGCCUGCAGUGAAUAUAUCGAAGAACUGGAACAAAUAGACUCAACGGACGACAACUGUGAGUUAAGAGACACUCUGACAAAGAGGGACGCCAUUGGGCAAAGGUACCAUGAGACAAUGGAAAUGUUGUGGUUUAAGGAUGCUGAGCCAGAAAUAAGCACCCUUGUGGCACGGUUCAAUUUAGCUUUCGACCAGGCCGAGGUACUCGGCAGGAAAAGCGCACUACAGCGGUGUCAGCAAGAGGCCAGAAGGAAGGGACUGGAUCAAGAACUCCACGAACUCAGAGACACUGUGCAUGUUUGGAGAGACUAUCAGCCAUACGGGAAAGAAAAGUGGAGACUCCUUUUAACAUUGGAAAUUAAAAAGGAGGAACUGAUGGAUGAGUGGUCAUGCUGCCGGGAUAACAAACGGGGAGAUGGGCAUACCCGACCAGUAGCUCAUGCUAGUACCACCCCACCUGUUCGCACCCACUCGGCUAUUAGGCAGGGCACCGUAGCUGGCACCAGUCCCCCUCAUCAACCUCCUCAACAGCCUCAACAACCUAACUAUGGACCCACUGUCAGCUUUACUCAGCCUCCAACCCUCACCAGUACACCACCGAGGUUUCACACUGCUCCCACCAACACCAGCAUGGGACAAAGGGGAACUGUGCCCACCAGCAACUUUGGUACAGUCACAGGGGGAGAAGACAGCUCUCAGUGGGCCCGACCCAAAGCAAAGAUCACUCCGAUUAGCUUGCCUAAGAUUUCUGGGAGCAGGACGGCUGACUGGGAGAGUAUCCAGGCGCAAGCGGGUCCCACAGAGUCCUUUGAAGAAGAGAAGAAGAGACUGAAGGGUCAAGUGACAGAGUUACAGAAAGUAACGGAAGUCAAUGUCAAGAAGGUAGAGGAGCAGAGUAAACUGAGGGCCAAGAUGCCUGAGCUGCUGAGCUCUGAAAGAACCCAAACUGCAGAGCUGCAGGGGACCUUGGCGCAAAGUCAGGAGAAUCUCACUGAGCUUCAGUCUGACUUCUACCAGAAAGAGUCAGAAGAAGAAGAGUCUACUCUGCAUCAAGACCUCAAGGCACCAGAAGAGACCCAAACUGCAGAGCCGCAGGAGACCUUGGUGCAAAAUCAGGAGAAUCUCACUGAGCUUCAGUCUGACUUCUACCAGAAAGAGUCAGAAGAGUCUACUCUGCAUCAAGACCUUAAGGCACCAGAAGAAAGACUGAGCUUAGCACAGGAGGACUUGGCUACCAACACCAGCCAACUCCUGCUAACCACACCACUGCUAACUCCAAACCAGACAGGUUUGGAGGCUCAGACAAAGGAACUGAAGAGAAGCCACAGCUCAUUGGAGCCAGAGCUCACUGAACAAGAGCAGAAGCACCUGGUGAUACUGCCUUUAGAGAGCAGACUUUCUGAGAAAAUGCUAACACGGUGGCUUGCGCAUGGGAGCAGCCCCAAGAACUAUGCCUUCCAGGGAAACCAUUUCGAGAAGCUCUUAUUGUUCCUGGCGCCUUUCCUGAAAGGCCAAAAGUCAUUACCCACAAGAGUAGAGCUUUUGAAGUUCAGUGAGCCAAUCCCCAUUUACAUUUCUGAGAGACCCAGCUACCAUGAGAAGCCGGUCGACUGGAGGAGGAUCCUAGAGGGAGUGGAGAAGAUCCUGAAAGCAAGGGGCUUCUACCUCAAGCCCUGGGUCCGGUCUGGUCAAAGUGGGAGGAAGGACGAGGCAAAGCCUGACCAAAUUACUCUACUUACUGAAGGAGAAGUGGAUGUAAAAGCACCAAACCCAUUAACUCGUCGCGUCCUACUGAGCCAGAUCACUGGAUUGUACGACCCAAACGAUCUAACAACACCUGUGGAGCAAAAAGGUGUGAUUCCUGUGAGGAAGGCCUCCCAGGAGGCUGGCAAGUUCACUAAGGACACUUGGGAUGAGUCCCUCUCUGACGAACUCCGAGGGAAACCGAUCGAGCUGUUCAAGGAGUACACUCGCUUGGGGAGCAUCAAGUUCCACAGAAACCUCACACCCUCCGGCUGGAGGGGCAAGCCCUGGGGAAUCACAUUCUCUGACGGAAGCUGUGAAUCUUACGGCGCCAUACUGUACCUGCGAUGGGAAACGUCAGAUGGUGUAGUUACCCGGUUGGUGGACUCAAAGUCCAAGUUAACCCCCUUAAACCAAAAAGGCGAUGCAGUCGGAGUCGAAAUCUGUGGGGCUGUCUUCGCCGCACGCCUGAAGGAAUACAUGCUGAAGCAUGGGAGAUUGACUGUGGGAAAGUGGUAUCACUUCAUAGACAUUCAGACAGUGCUGGGAGCCAUCCAGCGAGACAGUUACAGAUUUCAAACAUUCUUUGCAGAUAGAGUCGGAGAGUUCCAGAAGGCUGGGCCCGUAACUGAUUGGUGGUGGAUCCCAGGUGAAGUCAACGUCGCUGAUCUUAUCACGAGAGGGUGUUCACCCGAGCGACUAGACGAAAACUCCGCGUGGCAGAAGGGUCCCGAGUUCCUGUCUAGUCCAGUUGAAGAUUGGCCUAUGAAAUCUGCCACAAAAGUGGCAGCUGAUGCUACAGAGACAGUGAGUAAACUCCAGAAGAAAGACUUUGCAGCAGCCCUCACCAGAACCCAAGCGCAGAAGUUGUUAAAUUCCGGUGGUGAAGGCCGGAAUUUCACAGAUGGAGUUAGCAAGUCUCUAGCAGGGCUCCAGUCGGAGCCAAAAUCGAUCCCUGUUGAGACCAAGAAAGAUGAGACACUGUGGGGAGCCGCACUCAUGGGUCUGAAAAGGUACAACCCUCUAGCUAAGCUCUGUGGAGGGGUCAGUUAUGCCCAAAAGGCUGUAAAGAAGUGGGUUGCUCGUAUAGGGAGAGCCCCUAUUCCAGCAAAGUGGGAGGUAGUACUGACAGUGACCGAACUUGAAACUGCAUUCCAAGAUCCCCCUACGUCAUCCCGCUACGUCAUCAGAGACACUGUGAGGCGGGGAAUAAAGAUGAAAGUCCGGGGUGUGGUACUCAGGUGCAUGGCUUCGAGAGCAAAGCAUGCUGACGUUGUGGAAGAUCUGUCGACGGAUGGAUUCCUAAAGGCGUACCAGCACUUCACGGCUCUCAGGGGCCACCCAAGAAAACUUUGGUCGGAUCAAGGGACCAACUUCGUGGGCACCAAGCCAGUUUUAAAGGAACUCUACGAAUUCCUUAGCAACAUCGACAGGGAUCAAGUCCAGGAGAAAGCAACCGCCACUUGGACCGACUGGUCGUGGGUGUUUCACCCAGCAGUCCAUACACUCAGGAGAGCGUCGAGCAACAUCGGGGUGGAAAGUCACCUGACAGCACUGCAGUUGCAGACUCUCCCCUACCUGGCAGCUAAUCUGUCAAACGAAAGACCAAUCGGCGCAAGAAUCCAGGUACAAGACGAGACUGUAGGAGUCAUCACUCACAACUCACUUCUGCUUGGCCGUGCUUGGCCUAGCAGGGACUCUCGAAGGUUUGAAUACCUGACUUACCCCGUUGUGUGCCUGAGAGCGGUCCAGAUCGAGGUUGACAAGUUCUGGAAGCGGUGGAGCCAGCUGGCGGGCCCGGGCCUCUUCGUUCGACAGAAGUGGCACGCAUCCGCAAGGAACGUCACGGUGGGAGACUUAGUGUGGUUGGCUGACCAGAAUGCACUGAGAGGCCAGUUUAGGCUCGGUCGAGUUGUGGAGGCCCAUCCUGAUGUGAAAGGCGUAGUACGAGAUGUGAAAGUGAGGACGUGCCAAAGUUGUCCGGUUUCCAGUGGACAAAGUGGGAAAGGCAAAGAAAAGGAGAACCGUCCCUCCACCAUCCUUCACAGAGAUGUCAGAAGGCUGGUGGUUCUGUUGCCAGUGGAGGGACAGAAAUAGAUUCCCCACCACAUGAUGGUGUGUUUCGGAAAAAGGGAUCAAGACCCCCCCUCCACCAUCCUCCACGAGAGGUGGUGGUGUGUUUCAGUAAAGGGCGUCACUGCGUCAUCAAGGACAAUGUGAAACCUUUAUUUGUCAUUUGUAUCUGUCAUUCACAUCGUGUGUAAUACGUUCGUACCCAGCGAUGUAGCUUUAUGUAUCCAUUUGAAAGUUAAAAAAUUGUCUGUGUAAUACGUUCAUACCCCGCGAUGUAGCUUUAUGUACCCAUUUGAAAGGUAAAAUUGUGUGUAACGCGUUCGUACCCAGCAAUGUAGCCAUUUCGAAAGGCAAAAUUUGUGGUUGUUGUGGCCUACUUGGAUUUAGGAAUCAGUAGGCCAAGUGGGAGGUGUAGAACUUUCUAGCAGGCAAAGCUAUUUGUCUUUCAUUCUAUUUAUCUGUUCAUUGUUGUAACUGGUAUCAAAGCACCGUUGCCUUUAAAGUGCCUUUAAGGUGCAUCGUCAAAGCCAUGUUUUGUUAUGUAUUGCUUUCGUAUGUGCCUUUGUAAAUCCAUCUAUCAUCAGAACCUGUACGACUUGUCGGUUUUAUAACCUGACUGACUCUCUAACUGACUGUGGUUAGUAGCUAACAAACUGUCUAACUGUCUAACUGCUGCUUAACCGUGUAUGUGGAAUAAACCUUCAGAAAGACAGUCGAGUUGUGCCCGCCGUACUUGUUCUGGUUACCCUUUCCAGAAGGGAGUAUUGAGCUGGAAAGACCAACCAG